Molecule: long non-coding RNA, 977 nt
Filed under: Brassica rapa (field mustard)
Lineage: Eukaryota; Viridiplantae; Streptophyta; Magnoliopsida; Brassicales; Brassicaceae
Description: long non-coding RNA (BRAP_LNC007494)
Source: RNAcentral
GAUGGCUAAAGGAGUCAAGAACAUGUUUAGAGGUUGAACAUUAAAAUCUCUCUGCCAUAGAUACAGAACAGUUACGCUGGUUGUUGGUCCCGAACAAUCCAAGAUCUGAACUUUCUAUGUUAUAACAUAAACAAUAGUUAGAAUGUAAAGAGAAUUCUAGCAAGAGAAAGAAUAUGAAGAAAGAGCUAGUAAUAGCAUAUGCAGCGGCAAUUAAAUCUAGGACACGUAUUACACUUACUAACUCUCUCAAACACAACAAUGGUGUGCUGGUGGUUGAAAAAUAACAAAAGUACUGAGAAUGCAAGCAACAUACAGAACAUGAAGAAGGAGCUGCAAUUCCAAUUACAUAAGGUUUCCAAAAUUCAGAACUCAAUAUCCAAACCAGGCAAUCAGAUACUAAGUAUUUCUAUUUAAUAUGAAAGAUUAUGCACCAAUCCGAUUUGAAUCAACGAUUUUUUAAAGGUAUAUGAAGCAGAAGCAGAAGCAGAAUCAGAGAAUAGAGAGUGACCAUGUUGAGCAAUGAAUCUUACAUUAACCGAGAUCGAUGCAGAGAUUCCUCACUAACACUCAUCUCACACAACCUUUUCCCCUCCAUUGUUGGUUGACCGUAUCAGAGCUUGCUGUAGAGGACGAUGAACCCUAGAAACAAACGUGGACAGUCAUAAAGAAGGCGAAGGUCAGAAGGGGAAGGAAAGAAAGGAAGAAGACAUAACCUCAGGUCGAAGAUUCACAAAGCAAUUCUCAUGUGGAUUGAAGAUAUCGAAACUCAUAGCUGUAUCAGAGAUCGAAAGAGAAGAUUGUUUUAAUUGCGGAAGAACAGCAAACCCUAGAAAAUCUUGCGGCUGUCUCUCUAUCUUCGGGCUGAAUCACGUGAAAACACAUAAUUGAAACGAUGAGUUUUUCUCUUGGGACACGUGUCGCUACAACAUAAAACGAAUUAUCUAUGUGGCAUCCUAUGUGGACACUCUAGGAGAGAA